AGUGGAAUUACUGCAUCAUAUGGUAUGUCUAUUUAGCGAACUACCAGACUGUCUUCCAAAGCAUCUAUACCAUCUUACAUUGCCAUCAGCAGU
RNAcentral lists this microRNA precursor (93 nucleotides) under Marmota monax (woodchuck). The record is from RNAcentral. Lineage: Eukaryota; Metazoa; Chordata; Mammalia; Rodentia; Sciuridae.